CAAGAAGUUAUAAGCGAGAAGAGUAGAAGACCUUCGAAGAUAAGAUUUUGCGAGAGAAAAUCAUCCGAGAGUCAUGUCGCCACCCAAACAAUACCCCUCAAUAACAGCAUGUAGCGGCUCCAUCUAUCAGUCAAUAGCGGCUGAUCUCGAUGGCACGCUUCUCGUUUCCAGUAGUUCCUUCCCCUACUUCAUGCUCGUGGCUGUCGAAGCUGGAAGUCUCUUCCGUGGUCUCAUGUUGCUUCUGUCUCUACCUCUCGUGAUCAUCUCCUAUUUCUUUAUAUCUGAGGCCAUCGGGAUCCAAAUCCUAAUAUUCAUAUCCUUCGCUGGCCUCAAGAUCCGUGACAUCGAGCUGGCUUCCCGCGCUGUUUUGCCUAGGUUUUAUGCUGCGGAUGUGAGGAAGGAUAGCUAUGAGGUAUUUGACAGGUGCAAGAGGAAGGUGGUGGUGACGGCAAAUCCGACUAUUAUGGUGGAGCCAUUUGUGAAAGAUUUUCUUGGAGGAGACAAGGUUUUGGGUACGGAGAUCGAAGUAAACCCUAAAACUAAGAGGGCCACCGGAUUCGUAAAGAAGCCUGGCGUUUUGGUAGGCAAAUGGAAGAAGUUGGCCAUUUUGAAGGAGUUUGGAGAGGAAGCACCGGAUCUUGGGAUUGGAGACCGCAAGACUGAUCAUGAUUUCAUGUCAAUUUGCAAGGUCCGUGUUUACUUUUCCCUCUAUUUUCUUAAAUAUAACUAAUACCAUAUACUCCGUUAUGUUAGUGUAUACUAGAUAGUUAACAAGAUAGAAAGGUGAUUGAUCGAUGCUUCCAUUUAUCAUAUAAAGUUCUUUGUGCCAUUGUUUCAUGAGCUGUUAGCAGCUCACAGGAAAAAUAGCAAGGGUGGAAGGGCAGGAAAGCUGAUCUAUGGUUAAUGCUGGGACCCAUAGUAUUAAGCAUAUAUCCCCACAUCCCAACUGCCUGCAGCAACCAGCUAACCAAUUUGGUGGCUAUUAAAUUUUUGUCAAAACAUUAGAGUAAUUGGGUAUUUAUUAUAUAUACUAAGGAGAUAAACGGAUAAAAAUGAAUUAUUAAGUGUAUUCGAUGCAGAUAUACCUUAUCUCACAAUCAUGUGCGAUUCACUUCCUAUUAUAUAGGAAGGAUUAUAUAAUAGAAAGGAUUCUGUGAGAGAGGAAACUCUAUUUUUUAGUACUCCUGUGGUAUACUAAUAAUUAGCUAUGGAUAAAUGGGUAUUUAUUUUCUCAUAAAAGAUGAAUCCUUUCACUCAUUUUUUUAAAUGAAUUCCACAUUAUGACCAUGGGGCCUUGUAUUGAAUGCUAUUUGCAAUUUGAAAAAAAUAAUAAAAAAAAGACACGAACAAUGGGUGAUUAUAUGGGCACUGAAUACAUUUUUAGUAAGUAGUUUUCAAAAAUUUUUUAAAUUAAUUGUUAUGUUAAAUUUUUAUGAUAUGAAUACGAAAUGGAAUUUAAAUAAAAUUAAAUGAUAGUAAAAAAAAUUAAUUUUUACUGGUUUAAACUUAAAAUUUAAUUGUUAAUGUUGUUAUUUUAAUUUUUUUUAUAUUAAAAACUCUAGGGGCGUAUAGAAGUUUAUUAGAAGGUUUUAGUACUGCUAUCUUUUUAAUGGAUUUUUUUUUUAUGUUAUAUUAUAAAUCUAUGACAUAAUAGUGGGGAAACUUAUUAAGGCAAGAAUUUCCUCUUCCGAAUUAGGUUGCAGUGUCAUUAGUGAUCAAAUAUUUAAGAGCGGUUAUGCUAACGGACUGUAAAUUCAGGAGGGCUACAUGGUUCAUCGUAGCAAAUCAGCAACUCCGGUGUCACUGGAUCGCCUCAAAAGUCGUAUAAUUUUCCAUGACGGCCGCUUCGUCCAGCGACCAGACCCUCUCAACGCCCUUAUUGCCUAUCUUUGGCUGCCGUUUGGAUUCAUCCUCUCCAUCAUUCGCGUAUACUUCAAUCUCCCACUUCCAGAACGCAUCGUUCGCUACACAUACGAGAUGCUCGGCAUUCACCUGGUGAUCCGCGGGACACCACCUCCUGCCCCAUCGCCUGGAACCCCAGGGAACCUCUACGUGUGCAACCACCGCACAGCUUUGGAUCCUAUAGU
This 2087-nucleotide unclassified non-coding RNA is filed under the name Hevea brasiliensis (rubber tree). Lineage: Eukaryota; Viridiplantae; Streptophyta; Magnoliopsida; Malpighiales; Euphorbiaceae. The record is from RNAcentral.